UGAGUUGUGGCUCAGUGGUAGAGCACUUGUCUGACACAUGUGAGGCGCUGGGUUUGAUCCUCAGCACCACAU
Non-coding RNA from Ictidomys tridecemlineatus (thirteen-lined ground squirrel), 72 nucleotides. NCBI's taxonomy places the organism in Eukaryota, Metazoa, Chordata, Mammalia, Rodentia, Sciuridae. The record is from Rfam.